GGCGACGCCGAGCGGAACCCGAAAACCUGUCUCAGUUCGGAUCGGAGUCUGCAACCCGACUCCGUGAAGCUGGAUUCGCUAGUAAUCGCGCAUCAGCCAUGGCGCGGUGAAUACGUUCCCGGGCCUUGUACACACCGCCCGUCAAGCCAUGGAAGCCGGGGGUGCCUGAAGUGUGCAGCCGCAAGGAGCGCCCUAAGGUAAAACCGGUGACUGGGGCUAAGUCGUAACAAGGUACC
Molecule: ribosomal RNA, 236 nt
Filed under: uncultured bacterium
Lineage: Bacteria
Description: partial 16S ribosomal RNA
Rfam family: Bacterial small subunit ribosomal RNA
Source: RNAcentral